GGUAGGAUUUUAUAAAAGAGUAGGUGCCUAAACAGAAAGAAAAGGACUAGAACCUAAUUACUUUUGAACUAUGCAGGACCUCGGGUCCAAUAAAGAAAUAAACAUAUGAGCUAUUAGAAAUGUUAUCCAGAUACAAGCAUACUUGCUAUAAUAUAUUUUUUCACAAUCUCGUUGAAAUUUCAGUACGAAAUGACACUUUUAACUUUUUGAUUCGUCAUAGAUCGGAAGAUUUCUUGUAGUGUAACUAUAUAGUCUAGUGUGUGUAUAAAUGCACUAUCCAUAUCAAUAGUCAUAGUCAUGUAGGGCACAACUAAUGCCUAAAUAAUCAUGGGAUACUAAACCAUCUUAAUUGAAAAAUAUAUGAACUAUAAAAUUUUAGAUCUGUUUGAUCACUAGAACAUUGAUAAGAGCUGCUUUACAUCGAGGGUUGUUUGAAAAAUUCAGAAAUUCUAGAUUUCAAAAUUUGAGAAUUGAUAAUGAUUUUUUGGACUAUUAAAUGCCAUAGAU
RNAcentral lists this long non-coding RNA (507 nucleotides) under Setaria viridis. RNAcentral describes it as "long non-coding RNA (SVIR_LNC009936)". The record is from RNAcentral. Lineage: Eukaryota; Viridiplantae; Streptophyta; Magnoliopsida; Poales; Poaceae.